RNAcentral lists this long non-coding RNA (707 nucleotides) under Gallus gallus (chicken). Lineage: Eukaryota; Metazoa; Chordata; Aves; Galliformes; Phasianidae. The record is from RNAcentral.
UGCUAACUCACCCUCUGCUUUCAGUUAUCCACUCACCUUUGUGUGCUCUCCAUAGGAAAAGAAAGCAAGCAGGCAAGAAUGAAAAACAGAACUAGCUAAAUAACUGGCAGUGUUUCGGGAGAAGCCCAUCCUAUCGCAGAGAGCGACAACAGCCUCGGUAUUAUGAUUUAUGGAGUGCUGGUGUCACUCUAACAAGCUGAAGGACACACAAUAUCAUCUCCAACAUCAUUAAAAUUCAGAAGCCUCUAGAACUAACUCAUCAACCACCGCGCAUUGUCACACGCUAUGGAGCUGAGCUGUUCCCCACUUGGAAAAUGCCUUCCGGACAGUCGUCAUCCUGAAUCAUCUGAUUAAAAGGAUACAAAGAGAAGGAACGGAAAGGAAAGGGGGAAAGAGAGAGAAGCCAAACUCCACGGACAUUCUGGAAAUGAGGGACCUGCAACGGUUUCAUACCCAUAGCAGAGCGGUGCUAUUAGUUCCUAUCACCUACAACAAAAUGAGUUCUCUGCCUUCUUCUGUUGCUGGAAUACGGGAGGCCCAAAAAGCAGGAGGUCUCCUGGAAAUAGCUGCUCCGUUCAAACCGCAGCUAUGAGGCCGCGACACGAUAAGCAAAAGCCGUGCAUUACUUUAGCUCAUGCUGUACCACGAAACUUCUAUUUUAUUGAAGUUCGGCUGUGCGCUCUGCCUCAGACCGCAGCUGUCCCUCC